UUGGCUUACACUCGCCACAAGCUACAUCAGAGUCACAUCAGUACAUUACAUAAUCAUCAAGAGUAAGAGCAGGGUCCGAAUACGGACGAAAACAAACGACAAAAGAAGAACGACGUCCAUCCUUGCUAUCCCAGGCUGCCGGCCUGGAACCCAUCCUAGAUCGAUGAAGAAGAAGAAGAAGAAGAAGCAACUCCAAAUGAACAAUCAACGCGCUCGCGUCAAGUAACCUUAACCUGUACCUGCAACUG
This 248-nucleotide long non-coding RNA is filed under the name Hordeum vulgare. Its description in RNAcentral is "long non-coding RNA (HVUL_LNC001963)". The record is from RNAcentral. Lineage: Eukaryota; Viridiplantae; Streptophyta; Magnoliopsida; Poales; Poaceae.